Long non-coding RNA from Odocoileus virginianus texanus, 335 nucleotides. RefSeq lists it as uncharacterized. The record is from RefSeq and is a predicted model, not a curated record. NCBI's taxonomy places the organism in Eukaryota, Metazoa, Chordata, Mammalia, Artiodactyla, Cervidae.
AAAUCAUCCUUCUUAGGCUCUGGGGUAUUGAAUGACCCUCCGUCUCCAGUAGUUUUUUUGUUUCUGUUGUGACAAUAUGUUCCAGACUCCUCUUACCCAGUUGCAAUCGUGGAAUCAGAGGACAAAGCAUGGACCAUAGUGUCUCACGAUUUCCAGGUUAAGAUAACAGUGGUGGGCUGCAACCCAAGAAAAUACUCAGCUCGUUUCCAGCACCUCCAAGUGAGCAGUAUGCCCCCAUUUGCAAGAUGUCCAGGCUGCUGAGCAUCCCAGGUGUGGACUCCCUUGCGCCCUGACUUUCUAGAUGCUCAUCUCUUCAAAGGGCUUUGCGUCACAAG